CGCCGGCUAAUACCGGGUAAGCUCACGCGGGUUAGAGGCCGGGUGAGAAAACGGCAGCGCAAGCUGACCGCCUCAGGAGGGGCCUGCGGCCCAUCAGCUAGUUGGCAGGGUAACGGCCUACCAAGGCGAAGACGGGUAGGGGGCCUGAGAGGGUGACCCCCCACACGGGCACUGAGACACGGUCCAGACUCCUACGGGAGGCAGCAGUGGGGAAUUUUGCACAAUGGGGGAAACCCUGAUGCAGCAACGCCGCGUGGAGGAUGACGCAUUUCGGUGUGUAAACUCCUUUUCUACAAGAAGAAAUUGACGGUAUUGUAGGAAUAAGCACCGGCUAACUCCGUGCCAGCAGCCGCGGUAAUACGGGGGGUGCAAGCGUUACUCGGAAUCACUGGGCGUAAAGGGAGCGUAGGCGUCCGGGUCAGUCUCCUGUGAAAUCCCACGGCUCAACCGUGGAACUGCAGGAGAAACUGCCCGGAUAGAGUAUGGAAGAGGUAAGUGGAAUAGGUGGUGUAGGGGUAAAAUCCGUAGAGAUCACCUGGAAUACCAACGGCGAAGGCAACUUACUGGGACAUUACUGACGCUGAGGCUCGAAAGCGUGGGGAGCAAACAGGAUUAGAUACCUUGGUAGUCCACGCCCUAAACGAUGAAUGCUAGUCGCGGGGAGGCUUCGACCUUUCCGGGACGCAGUUAACACAUUAAGCAUUCCGCCU
Molecule: ribosomal RNA, 710 nt
Filed under: uncultured bacterium
Lineage: Bacteria
Description: bacterial SSU rRNA
Rfam family: Bacterial small subunit ribosomal RNA
Source: RNAcentral